UACGUAGGGUGCGAGCGUUAAUCGGAAUUACUGGGCGUAAAGCGUGCGCAGGCGGUCUGUUAAGACAGAUGUGAAAUCCCCAGGCUUAACCUGGGAACUGCAUCCGAUACUGGAUGGCUUGAAUCCGGGAGAGGGAUGCAGAAUUCCAGGUGUAGCGGUGAAAUGCGUAGAUAUCUGGAGGAAUACCGGUGGCGAAGGCGGCAUCCUGGACCGGCAUUGACGCUGAGUGAGCGAAAGCCAGGGGAGCAAACGGG
This 254-nucleotide ribosomal RNA is filed under the name uncultured bacterium. RNAcentral describes it as "partial 16S ribosomal RNA". It matches the Rfam family "Bacterial small subunit ribosomal RNA", at positions 524 to 776 of the family's 1533-position model. The record is from RNAcentral.